AGUUAUCAAAGAGGUUGCAACCAACAUGAGUCACGUGAAUGAGUCCGCCAAGGAUGUUGAAUUGACGUAAAAGGGACGGUUGCCGAAGUGUUAUUCUUGGCAGAAUAAUACUGGGCUAACAAUUAAUAGUUGUUAGACUGUCACGCAACGUGAUGUGCUUUGAAAAGU
Molecule: non-coding RNA, 168 nt
Filed under: Leuconostoc gelidum
Lineage: Bacteria; Bacillati; Bacillota; Bacilli; Lactobacillales; Lactobacillaceae
Description: Lysine sequence
Rfam family: Lysine riboswitch aptamer
About the family: Riboswitches are metabolite binding domains within certain messenger RNAs that serve as precision sensors for their corresponding targets.
Source: RNAcentral